AGUCUGCUCCACGCUUGCCGCCAGAAGCUCCACAGACCGAGGCUCCAAGAUGUUGUCGGCCACAGGCCAGCUGUCGGAGCGCUUCUCCGGCGACCCCCAGCAAGGGGGUCGGCGAUGUUACAGUCCCUGCUGCGCCACCGCUGAAGCUCCGGGCCCACGAUGUUACAGUCCCCACUGCGCCGCCGUUGAAGCUCUGGGCCCGACUCCGGGAGAGCCCGUACCAAACCAGCUCUAAGACGGCGAGGACGGAGGCGAAGAAGCGACAAGGAUGAAAGUCGCAUCUCCCUUGAGGAGCCAAUUACAGGAACUGCUUUGAGAGGAAGGAAUUCAGGAAGUGGAGAUAAUAAUGAAGGGUCUGGCUAUGGCUGGUUACCCAUGUGGGUCCCUUGAAGGCAGAAACUGAUGAAAUUAUUAUGGGGAACAAGGAAAUGGCAGAAGAGAAGAACAGGUACUUUGGUUCUGUCUUCACUAAGGAAGACACAAACAAUCUCCCAGAUGUACCAGAGGACAGAGGAUCCAGGGAGAAAGCGGAACUGAAAGAAAUCUGCAUUAGACGAGAAAUAGUAUUGGGCAGACUGAUGGGACUGAAGGCUGAUAAAUCCCCAGGGCUUGAUGGUUUCCAUCCCAGGGUACUCAAGAAGGUGCCUCU
Molecule: long non-coding RNA, 649 nt
Organism: Amblyraja radiata (thorny skate)
Lineage: Eukaryota; Metazoa; Chordata; Chondrichthyes; Rajiformes; Rajidae
Exons: 3
Source: RefSeq, a predicted model, not a curated record